AAAAAGCUCUAUGAUAGAUUUGUAAUGCUCCUAAACAAUUUCAUGGGCUUCUUCAACAGAAAGCUCAUCAACAGAGCAAACCAAGGCACAAUUAGCUGCAACUAGACAAUUAUAGUGUACAACAAAACAAAUUUAGCAUAAUUAGUUAAGAUCAAAAGGUUUCUCUUUUCCCUCUUCAGUCUUCCCACUCUUAACAGAUUACAUAUUCUACACAUUCUCAGCUCAACAUAAACAACGCACCGCGAGCAGCAUAUAGCAGGUGUCCGGCGAUGACCAAUUUUUUGAAUCUAGCAGUAACUUCGAUUUAAUUGUAUGGUUGAAGUUAUAGCAGCAGAGUCAUGUAGAACAGGGACUCUGCCAUGUACAUAGGUCAGCAAGAAGAUCUCGAAGCUGGUCAAUCAGAAGUUUGAGAUGCUUGUUCUUGUCUACAAGCUCCUUCUUUAAUGAAGAGGCCCGGUCUUCCAGCUGCUCAAUUUCCGCUUGAUCUGCUGCAGAUAGUGAACCACUAGCAGAAGCAGCUUCCAAUGCUUUUGCCUUUUGGGAAUUAGAAAUUGCAGUAAGAACAGAACGCAAGGAAGCAAUAGAGGACUUAUAACGCAGACGAGAUUCAUCAAGAGCACCACCACCAAUAUCCAAAUGCUGAGCUGAAGCAGAAGAAGACGAAGAAGUAUCAGACGAAAUGUCGCCGUUUGUAUGGUGCUGCUGUCCAUUACUCAAAACACCACUAGCACCAACUCCUCCACCGGCCACCGCCACCGCAGAAGAAGCAGCAGCUGUAUUUAGAGUGGACCAAAGUGAUGGAUUACAGAGUUCAUCGUUCAUGGCGGAGAGAAUUUGAUGUGCUGCUUCUAUUGUAUCUUCUAAAUGCUUUUGCCCUUCUACUGCUAGUUCUUGUAUGGUUUUAGGGCUUGUAAUUGUGCCUUUAUCCUCCAUACCGGGUAAUGUCACCGGCUUGUCAAAACCCUAGAUCGACGGCGGCGG
RNAcentral lists this unclassified non-coding RNA (981 nucleotides) under Hevea brasiliensis (rubber tree). The record is from RNAcentral. Lineage: Eukaryota; Viridiplantae; Streptophyta; Magnoliopsida; Malpighiales; Euphorbiaceae.